GACGAACGCUGGCGGCGUGCUUAACACAUGCAAGUCGAACGGAAAGGCCCUGCUUUUGUGGGGUGCUCGAGUGGCGAACGGGUGAGUAACACGUGAGUAACCUGCCCUUGACUUUGGGAUAACUUCAGGAAACUGGGGCUAAUACCGGAUAGGAGCUCCUGCUGCAUGGUGGGGGUUGGAAAGUUUCGGCGGUUGGGGAUGGACUCGCGGCUUAUCAGCUUGUUGGUGGGGUAGUGGCUUACCAAGGCUUUGACGGGUAGCCGGCCUGAGAGGGUGACCGGCCACAUUAGGCCUGAGAUACGGCCCAGACUCCUACGGGAGGCAGCAGUGGGGAAUAUUGCACAAUGGGCGGGAGCAUGAUGCGGCAACGCCGCGUGCGGGAUGACGGCCUUCGGGUUGUAAACCGCUUUCGCCUGUGACGAAGCGUGAGUGACGGUAAUGGGUAAAGAAGCACCGGCUAACUACGUG
This 468-nucleotide ribosomal RNA is filed under the name uncultured bacterium. RNAcentral's name for it is "partial 16S ribosomal RNA". It matches the Rfam family "Bacterial small subunit ribosomal RNA", at positions 28 to 507 of the family's 1533-position model. The record is from RNAcentral.